CCCAAAGCACCCAAGAUUGCUCCAGUUUAUCCACCACCCAAGUCACCAAGCAAGCCGCCAACUUACGCUCCUCCACCCAAGUCACCCAGCAAGCCGCCAAGUUACGCUCCUCCACCCAAGUCACCCAGCAAGCCGCCAACUUACGCUCCUCCGACCAAGCCACCAACUUACGCCCCUCCACCCAAGCCACCAGUUUAUCCUCCAACUAAGCCACCGACUGCGCCCCCGACUAAGCCACCAGUGCACCCACCAACAUAUCCUCCACCAUCGCCUUCUCCACCUAAGCCGCCAACUUAUCCUAAACCACAAAGGAGCCUAGUGGCUGUUCAGGGCGUUGUUUUUUGCAAGUCAUGCAAAUACGCUGGAUCUGACACCCUGUUGGGAGCGACGCCUAU
RNAcentral lists this long non-coding RNA (395 nucleotides) under Gossypium barbadense (sea-island cotton). Its description in RNAcentral is "long non-coding RNA (GBAR_LNC017223)". Lineage: Eukaryota; Viridiplantae; Streptophyta; Magnoliopsida; Malvales; Malvaceae. The record is from RNAcentral.